GACGAACGCUGGCGGCGUGCUUAACACAUGCAAGUCGAACGGAAAGGCCCUGCUUUUGUGGGGUGCUCGAGUGGCGAACGGGUGAGUAACACGUGAGUAACCUGCCCUUGACUUUGGGAUAACUUCAGGAAACUGGGGCUAAUACCGGAUAGGAGCUCCUGCUGCAUGGUGGGGGUUGGAAAGUUUCGGCGGUUGGGGAUGGACUCGCGGCUUAUCAGCUUGUUGGUGGGGUAGUGGCUUACCUAGGCUUUGACGGGUAGCCGGCCUGAGAGGGUGACCGGCCACAUUGGGACUGAGAUACGGCCCAGACUCCUACGGGAGGCAGUAGUGGGGAAUAUUGCACAAUGGGCGGAAGCCUGAUGCAGCAACGCCGCGUGCGGGAUGACGGCCUUCGGGUUGUAAACCGCUUUCGCCUGUGACGAAGCGUGAGUGACGGUAAUGGGUAAAGAAGCACCGGCUAACUACGU
RNAcentral lists this ribosomal RNA (467 nucleotides) under uncultured bacterium. RNAcentral's name for it is "partial 16S ribosomal RNA". It matches the Rfam family "Bacterial small subunit ribosomal RNA", at positions 28 to 506 of the family's 1533-position model. The record is from RNAcentral.